RNAcentral lists this ribosomal RNA (495 nucleotides) under uncultured bacterium. RNAcentral's name for it is "partial 16S ribosomal RNA". It matches the Rfam family "Bacterial small subunit ribosomal RNA", at positions 30 to 507 of the family's 1533-position model. The record is from RNAcentral.
UGAACGCUGGCGGCGUGCCUACUACAUGCAAGUCGAGCGAACGGACGAGAAGCUUGCUUCUCUGAUGUUAGCGGCGGACGGGUGAGUAACACGUGGAUAACCUACCUAUAAGACUGGGAUAACUUCGGGAAACCGGAGCUAAUACCGGAUAAUAUUUUGAACCGCAUGGUUCAAAAGUGAAAGACGGUCUUGCUGUCACUUAUAGAUGGAUCCGCGCUGCAUUAGCUAGUUGGUAAGGUAACGGCUUACCAAGGCAACGAUGCAUAGCCGACCUGAGAGGGUGAUCGGCCACACUGGAACUGAGACACGGUCCAGACUCCUACGGGAGGCAGCAGUAGGGAAUCUUCCGCAAUGGGCGAAAGCCUGACGGAGCAACGCCGCGUGAGUGAUGAAGGUCUUCGGAUCGUAAAACUCUGUUAUUAGGGAAGAACAUAUGUGUAAGUAACUGUGCACAUCUUGACGGUACCUAAUCAGAAAGCCACGGCUAACUACGUG